UCCUAUUUACCAGGUAUUUUAUAAAUCAUAAAUAUCUUCAAGCACAUGAAAGUGGCAGCCAGCUUUAAAAGUAUCAUUGUUUAAUCAGGUUUUCAUACAAGAACAUGAAACUUUUUAUUAUGACAGAAUGAAAAUCAAAAGUGACAGACUGGGUGACUGGAAUUUCUGUGACUUUUUUAAUCCAAUAAAUGCCCAGCCUUCUAAUUCAGGAAGAGAAUUUGGCACCAGCUGGAAUCCUCAGACAGCAUUAGUAAACAAUAACAAAACGUCCCUCAAAUAAAAAUUUUAAAUCAUGAGUUUAGAAGAAACUUCCAUAAAAUGAAACACACAUACUGAAUUUAAAGAUUCAUAUGACUGAUCAGGUCAAAUCCUGUCACCUGGGAAACAGAAAGAAGAAAAGCAAUACUUAAAUCUGCUGAGGAUAUUUAAUUUCACAGACUCCAGGAGACUUCUAGAGAAUAGGGUGAAAUGCGACUUUACAUUUCACUGCUGAGAUUCAGAAUCCAGGUAAGCAAAUUGAUGUUCCUGCAUCAAUAACGUGAAACCAGUGUUCAACAAACCAAAAAACUUUGAAAAGGGGUGAAGAACCUUGGAACCUACAAGCUGCUUCCUACAAGCUGUUUCACUUAUAUUCUCUCCCUCCAAGAAAUAGCCUGAGGGAAAAGGAAAUUUCUAGUUCCACCCAGUAAAUCCACACACUAAACACGAUGGCAAAGUGGAAUAUAUUGCUAACUGUGCCCAUCAGGGUGAGCAAACUUUGUCGUGCAGCCCCUGAGGCAAAGCCCUACCUCUGACCCACCAUUUUCAGGCAAUAAAGCCUGAAGUUGCUGUACAUCAACUGCACUUGCUGAGGUCACAGAAAAAGGGUUCGACUAAGGCACAAUUGAGCAGAACGAGUUUGCUCGGGUGUUUGACACAUCUGGAGUUACAGUUCCACAGUCACAACACACCUGCUGCCUACAGCCUGGCUUCAGUGAAUGUCAGUAUGACUUCAAACACUUGCUAGAACUUUUCUUGAAUUCCAGAAGGUCCCAUAGAAACUUGUCACCAGAAAUGCCAAUGAAAAUCAGAAGCUCUAAGUGGCCAACUCUGGAGCACAGAUAUAAAAUGACUUUACUGGUCUGCUAUGAGAAAUCCAGGCUCUGCUGAGCAGGUAACAGGAAAUCAAUGGCAACCUCUGCUGGCUGGUUCUAGAUGCAGAUUAUUUUCAGAUUUCCAUUCAAGAAGAAUUGGAGAGUCUUCACAGAAAGAAAAAGGAAAUCGUAGACAAGUGACAACAAAGACCAAAAGAGCUUUCUGGAAUUACAUUUACAAACUCAUGAAAGAAAGGGGGCAUGGUUCAAAAAGGUACCUCAAUUCCUCUGCCAUACAGGUAGAGUAAUUACUAAAAAGUAAUUAGACUGCAAUGUUACAUUAACCUACCUAAGGCUGCCUCACCCAUGCAUGCUGUCCAGCCCCAGCACUUGCUCCCAUCUCACCCUGACACCACACAUGAACAGUGAAUCUCUGAGAGAAGUGGGGCAGAAGAAAAUUUUCUAAAUAAAAAUCCACAGUUACUGUGACCAGCCCUGCAAAUGCUACAUAAGGGUAUAAAAAAGAGAUGGAACAUGCAGUAAAAGAAACCUCUUUUGGGAAGCACGCUGUCUGAAACUGCAAUCCCCAUUAAUGACGAUUUAGCUUUAAUGCAGGCUGUAUCCUGUACUACCAAGUCAGAAAAAAGGAUGUAUUUCAAAACUGGAUUGCUUUGAAGACAAACCACCCUUCUGAAGACAGCUUUUUCAUAUGCAGGAUAUGAUUAAAAUAUGUGGCUCUCCAUAUCACCAGCAUUUGGCUGUCAGUUUAAAAAGCAACUGAUGAAAACCCUCAGCAAGAA
Non-coding RNA from Cyanistes caeruleus (blue tit), 1873 nucleotides. NCBI's taxonomy places the organism in Eukaryota, Metazoa, Chordata, Aves, Passeriformes, Paridae. The record is from RefSeq and is a predicted model, not a curated record.